Molecule: ribosomal RNA, 180 nt
Filed under: uncultured Glomeromycotina
Lineage: Eukaryota; Fungi; Glomeromycota
Description: partial small subunit ribosomal RNA
Rfam family: Eukaryotic small subunit ribosomal RNA (bases 91-180)
Source: RNAcentral
GACCUGGCUGGGUGGUCUUGCCGAAAGGUAAGCACUGCUCUGGUCGGGUCUUUCCUUCUGGGGAACCAGCGUGCUCUUAAUUGAGUGCGCUGGGGAUCCAGGACUUUUACUUUGAAAAAAUUAGAGUGUUUAAAACAGGCAUUUUGCUUGAAUACAUUAGCAUGGAAUAAUAGAAUAGGA